RNAcentral lists this long non-coding RNA (312 nucleotides) under Sorghum bicolor (sorghum). RNAcentral's name for it is "long non-coding RNA (SBIC_LNC009698)". The record is from RNAcentral. Lineage: Eukaryota; Viridiplantae; Streptophyta; Magnoliopsida; Poales; Poaceae.
CGGCCAGGAAAUUCUCUCUUCGUGAAUAAGGAAGCUCACUGUCGACGUACACAUUUGAGUUGAAUCUACCAGCUAUUUAACACUACUUAUAACAAAUCAACGAACAUAUCUUUUUAGCCAUAGCUUUUCAGCCAAGCGAACACAGCCCCAGCAGUACGUGAUCCCUUUACCUUAGCACUACACUACUUCAACAUUACUUUUCAGCGAGCGAACAGUGUUUACCUCUCACAACAUUCACAACAAGAAUUUUCUACUCCAUAGUGAGGUGAUCUCCUAGUAAUUUAAUAUUUAAAAUUUAGUAUAAACUUUUCC